RNAcentral lists this ribosomal RNA (433 nucleotides) under uncultured bacterium. RNAcentral's name for it is "partial 16S ribosomal RNA". It matches the Rfam family "Bacterial small subunit ribosomal RNA", at positions 29 to 507 of the family's 1533-position model. The record is from RNAcentral.
AGCGAACGCUGGCGGCAGGCCUAACACAUGCAAGUCGAACGAACUCUUCGGAGUUAGUGGCGGACGGGUGAGUAACACGUGGGAACGUGCCUUUAGGUUCGGAAUAACUCAGGGAAACUUGUGCUAAUACCGAAUGUUCCCUUCGGGGGAAAGAUUUAUCGCCUUUAGAGCGGCCCGCGUCUGAUUAGCUAGUUGGUGAGGUAAAGGCUCACCAAGGCGACGAUCAGUAGCUGGUCUGAGAGGAUGAUCAGCCACAUUGGGAAUGAGACACGGCCCAAACUCCUACGGGAGGCAGCAGUGGGGAAUCUUGCGCAAUAGGCGAAAGCCUGACGCAGCCAUGCCGCGUGAAUGAUGAAGGUCUGAGGAUUGUAAAAUUCUUUCACCGGGGACGAUAAUGACGGUACCCGGAGAAGAAGCCCCGGCUAACUUCGUG